UGCAUUCACUACUGUAAGUCGCUCUGGAUAAGAGUGUCUGCUAAAAAUGUUUUAAA
Non-coding RNA from Salmo salar (Atlantic salmon), 56 nucleotides. Lineage: Eukaryota; Metazoa; Chordata; Actinopteri; Salmoniformes; Salmonidae. The record is from Rfam.